AUGCAGGCACGAGACAAAGUGACACACGUGCUGCAACUCUGCUCUGCUAAGAUAACACCAGACGGGAUUGAGAUUCCCCCAGAAGUUCAGAAUCUUAUCUCUGAGUUUGAGCAAUUGUUUGAAGAGCCCUGAGGCCUCCCACCAGCGCAUAGCUUUGAUCAUUCAAUUGAUCUGUUGCCGGGUGCGAAGCCAGUGAAUAUUCGACCCUACCGCUACAACCCAGCACAGAAAGAUGAAAUUGAGGCUUUGGUGGCUGAUAUGCUGAAACGGGGGAUAAUCCAACCAAGCCGCAGC
This 294-nucleotide ribosomal RNA is filed under the name Triticum aestivum (bread wheat). Its description in RNAcentral is "partial small subunit ribosomal RNA". Lineage: Eukaryota; Viridiplantae; Streptophyta; Magnoliopsida; Poales; Poaceae. The record is from RNAcentral.